Long non-coding RNA from Lates calcarifer (barramundi perch), 2429 nucleotides. RefSeq lists it as uncharacterized. The record is from RefSeq and is a predicted model, not a curated record. NCBI's taxonomy places the organism in Eukaryota, Metazoa, Chordata, Actinopteri, Centropomidae. The transcript is spliced from 7 exons.
GCGCGUGUGUAUCUGUAUGGCUUCACAGGGGUGCAGCCUGCUAUGUUUUGUCGAACACAAGUGAGGCUGGAGGCUGAACACACCUGCGGCGCGAAGGUGUCACCACUUCGUCCACAAGAUCAUCCACAAUCGUAGAGACAUGGUUCAUGAUCGGAGAGACAUUGUUGAGGAUGAGGGAGACAUCGUCCACGAUCAGAGACGUUGUCCAUGAUUGCAGAGACCUUGUCAAAGAUGAGAGAGACGUUGUCCAUGAUCAGAGCCAUUGUCCCAUGCUUCGUAGAGACCUUGCGAUAGAAUCGGCGGAGACGGGGGUCACCGAUUUGACGGCACUGCCCGCGAUCAUGGAGACAUUGUCAAUGAUCACAGAGACAGCGUCUAUGAUCUCAGAGACAUCGUCCACAAUCACAAAGACAUUGUCCAUGAUCGCAGAGACUUUGUCCAUAAUCUCAGAGACAUUGUCCGUGAUCACAGAGACCUAGUCCGCGAUCACAGAGAGCCUUUGACCAAGACAAAGGCCUCCAGGUGUCACCACUUCGUCCACAAGAUCAUCCACAAUCGUAGAGACAUGGUUCAUGAUCGGAGAGACAUUGUUGAGGAUGAGGGAGACAUCGUCCACGAUCAGAGACGUUGUCCAUGAUUGCAGAGACCUUGUCAAAGAUGAGAGAGACGUUGUCCAUGAUCAGAGCCAUUGUCCCAUGCUUCGUAGAGACCUUGCGAUAGAAUCGGCGGAGACGGGGGUCACCGAUUUGACGGCACUGCCCGCGAUCAUGGAGACAUUGUCAAUGAUCACAGAGACAGCGUCUAUGAUCUCAGAGACAUCGUCCACAAUCACAAAGACAUUGUCCAUGAUCGCAGAGACUUUGUCCAUAAUCUCAGAGACAUUGUCCGUGAUCACAGAGACCUAGUCCGCGAUCACAGAGAGCCUUUGACCAAGACAAAGGCCUCCAGGUGUCACCACUUCGUCCACAAGAUCAUCCACAAUCGUAGAGACAUGGUUCAUGAUCGGAGAGACAUUGUUGAGGAUGAGGGAGACAUCGUCCACGAUCAGAGACGUUGUCCAUGAUUGCAGAGACCUUGUCAAAGAUGAGAGAGACGUUGUCCAUGAUCAGAGCCAUUGUCCCAUGCUUCGUAGAGACCUUGCGAUAGAAUCGGCGGAGACGGGGGUCACCGAUUUGACGGCACUGCCCGCGAUCAUGGAGACAUUGUCAAUGAUCACAGAGACAGCGUCUAUGAUCUCAGAGACAUCGUCCACAAUCACAAAGACAUUGUCCAUGAUCACAGAGACUUUGUCCAUAAUCUCAGAGACAUUGUCCGUGAUCACAGAGACCUAGUCCACGAUCACAGAGAGCCUUUGACCAAGACAAAGGCCUCCAGGUGUCACCACUUCGUCCACAAGAUCAUCCACAAUCGUAGAGACAUGGUUCAUGAUCGGAGAGACAUUGUUGAGGAUGAGGGAGACAUCGUCCACGAUCAGAGACGUUGUCCAUGAUUGCAGAGACCUUGUCAAAGAUGAGAGAGACGUUGUCCAUGAUCAGAGCCAUUGUCCCAUGCUUCGUAGAGACCUUGCGAUAGAAUCGGCGGAGACGGGGGUCACCGAUUUGACGGCACUGCCCGCGAUCAUGGAGACAUUGUCAAUGAUCACAGAGACAGCGUCUAUGAUCUCAGAGACAUCGUCCACAAUCACAAAGACAUUGUCCAUGAUCGCAGAGACUUUGUCCAUAAUCUCAGAGACAUUGUCCGUGAUCACAGAGACCUAGUCCGCGAUCACAGAGAGCCUUUGACCAAGACAAAGGCCUCCAGGUGUCACCACUUCGUCCACAAGAUCAUCCACAACCGCAGAGACAUGGUUCAUGAUCAGAGAGACAUUGUUGAGGAUGAGGGAGACAUCGUCCACGAUCAGAGACGUUGUCCAUGAUUGCAGAGACCUUGUCAAAGAUGAGAGAGACGUUGUCCAUGAUCAGAGCCAUUGUCCCAUGCUUCGUAGAGACCUUGCGAUAGAAUCGGCGGAGACGGGGGUCACCGAUUUGACGGCACUGCCCGCGAUCAUGGAGACAUUGUCAAUGAUCACAGAGACAGCGUCUAUGAUCUCAGAGACAUCGUCCACAAUCACAAAGACAUUGUCCAUGAUCGCAGAGACUUUGUCCAUAAUCUCAGAGACAUUGUCUGCGAUCACAGAGACCUAGUCUGCGAUCACAGAGUGUCUUUGACAGUGAAGAAGUUCAUUGAGACCAGGACAGAGGCCACCAGGUGUCACCACUUCGUCCACGACAUCGUCCACGAUCGCAGAGACAUGGUCCAUGAUCGGAGAGACAUUGUUGAGGAUGAGGGAGACAUCGUCCUCGAUCAGAGACAUUGUCCACGAUCGCAGAGACCUUGUCAAAGAUGAGAGAGACGUUGUCCAUGAUCAGAGACAUUGUCCCAUGCUUCGU